RNAcentral lists this ribosomal RNA (250 nucleotides) under uncultured bacterium. RNAcentral's name for it is "partial 16S ribosomal RNA". It matches the Rfam family "Bacterial small subunit ribosomal RNA", at positions 355 to 621 of the family's 1533-position model. The record is from RNAcentral.
UGGGGAAUCUUGCGCAAUGGGCGAAAGCCUGACGCAGCAACGCCGCGUGCGGGAUGACGGCCUUCGUGGUUGUAAACCGCUUUCAGCAGGGACGAAAAUGACGGUACCUGCAGAAGAAGCCCCGGCUAACUACGUGCCAGCAGCCGCGGUAAUACGUAGGGGGCAAGCGUUGUCCGGAUUCAUUGGGCGUAAAGAGCUCGUAGGCGGUUCAGUAAGUCAGGUGUGAAAGCUCCGAGCUCAACUCGGAGAG